UUAAAAGUGCCUAUCUAACGGCAUUUCUUGGUUUCUUGGUUUAACAGAAUAUACUUUAAAAAUAAAAGAAUAUUCUGUUAAAUUUAACGAUGUUAGUAGGUUUGAUCUCCUGUUGACUUUAAAAAAUGUAUAAAUAAUUAAACCUAAAAAAUUAAACAAUCUUUUUUUAAAUUAAAAAAAAUCAUUUAGCCACACAUCUGUCUAACCUAGCAAACCGUAUAUUCCCAAUUUGAGAAAUUAUUGGGUGAUUUUUUAUUUAUAUAUAAUAAAAUAUUUGAGAACAAAUAUUUGAGUAUAUACGAUUGAGAACAAAUAGCGACUGAGUGACUUUUUUAAUUUAUAUUAUUUUAAAUAUGCAUUUAAAAAUAAUAUAAGAAAUAUGCACGAUACUCUCAUCUCUUUCAGUCCUCUUUUACAAUUUUUCUCAAUCUUUUGUCAAUUUUUUUUUGAAGAUUACUUGUUACAGUCGUAAGGUUUUGAUCAGAAAUAAUGGUAGAUGAAGCAGGUUCCCUCAAAUCGAUGAAGCCAAGGAUUCAUAUCCAAUCAGGCGACAUCAAAUCUGGCGCAUUCAAAUUCGAGAAGUAUUUGCCUUUGGUUUUAUCAAAAUGUGAUGUUCCCCCAAGACCCAUUCCUGGAACAAACCCUCCCCAAGAAUCUCAAAUCCAUAUGCCCAACUUCGACGCCUUCACCUUCCAAGAUCUCCGAACACCUAACAUCUUUAAAUUUCUGCGAUUGAGCUGCAAAUCGAACCAAUCAGACGAAUUUAGAUGAGAUUUGUCCCAUUUUUAAUUCUAAACCAUUUGAACCGAGUGGGUCGAAGUACAACAGAGUCGUUUGGUAAGAUUUAUUGGUCCGCUUGGUCGAUUCGUUCAAGUAUAACACGGUGAGCAGUCGAUUAGUCGAGGCUCUUCAAUAGGAUGGAGCACAAUUGCUACGGUUGGUCCGAUUCGUUCAAGGUCAGGACGAUGAGUGGUCGAUUGGACAAGGCGAGCGAGUCGAACUACAACAAAGUCGUUCGGUUGCAGGCGGUGAUGGUACGGUUGGUUGGGUAUUGGAAUGUCUUGUAGAACCUAACAAAGAGAGUCGAAAUCCAAUUUCUUCCAUAGGAAUAAUUCCACUUGGUAUAGAAAAUGACCUAUCUAGGAGUUUUGGCUGGGGUGGUUCUUUUCCUUUCGCAUGGAAAUCAGCCAUUAAAAAAACACUCAACAAUGCUACUUCUUGUCAAAUUUGUCGUUUGGAUAGGAACAUAGUUUUGGUCAAGGUAGUGACUACAUGUGCUACGUUUUAUUUUAUGUUUAGGUUUGAUAGAAUCUCUCGACACUUAUUUACGGUAGAAGGCUAAUAUGAAUUUUGAUGAAGCAGUUGACAAAGUUCUAUUGUCAAUCCCUACUAGAGAAGUUGUGGAUCCGCCUCCCUCUCUGAAGCAUACAGAAGAGUGUGCUCUUGAUGAGGUUGAAAAUUUACAAUAUUAUUUUUCUGUUUACUUGAGUUUAUUGUAUGAUUUUUACCUGUAUAAAGUAAUUACUAAUCUGAGCCAUUAUAUGUGUCAUGAAUAAAAAGGAUGUAUUCGUUUAAUCGACAUGAAUUAUAAAUAAGAGAAAAGUUGAUUAGAUUUUAUCCUUAAA
Long non-coding RNA from Cannabis sativa, 1625 nucleotides. RefSeq lists it as uncharacterized. The transcript has 5 exons. NCBI's taxonomy places the organism in Eukaryota, Viridiplantae, Streptophyta, Magnoliopsida, Rosales, Cannabaceae. The record is from RefSeq and is a predicted model, not a curated record.